UAAAAAACUCCUGGGGGAUUGGCCAUAUAAUUUAAAAAGGGAUUGUAAUGGUCCACAAAACCAAUGGACCACCUUCUUCGCUAUUUGCAUCAAUAUUUGUCCAAAUAAAAAGAAGAACAUGAGGAACAAGAAGCAUUAAGCAACUCUGAAUUACUGUAUCAGAAGAUAACAAAAUAACAUUGAGUGCAAGACCAUCAUAUCGUGCAAUUUAACAUUAAAAAUGUUCAAAUAACUAAAUGCUUCCUGAGCGUGUAAAAUCUACCUAUAGCCUGUUAGUCACUGUCUCGUUCAAAAUUGCUACUCCACUCGAAAUCUUCUCAGGUUGUACAUAAAAUGCUAAGUACAUUCGAUUUCUCAUUUCUGCCGGCAAAAGGAAAUAAAUUGCAUCUAGAAGCUUCAGGUGUCAGAUCAGAAGACAAGCUUGUGACCUCAUAAGCUUAUCCAAGAUCCUCUCCUUGGAAAACAAAGAAGCCACCGUGAUAAAAUCAGAGGAUACUUGUUCUUGCUAUUGAG
RNAcentral lists this long non-coding RNA (513 nucleotides) under Nicotiana benthamiana. Its description in RNAcentral is "long non-coding RNA (NBEN_LNC002372)". Lineage: Eukaryota; Viridiplantae; Streptophyta; Magnoliopsida; Solanales; Solanaceae. The record is from RNAcentral.